Non-coding RNA from Hymenopellis radicata, 102 nucleotides. NCBI's taxonomy places the organism in Eukaryota, Fungi, Basidiomycota, Agaricomycetes, Agaricales, Physalacriaceae. The record is from the annotation of a GenBank genome assembly.
GCCUCCUUGGCUCAGUUGGCUAGAGCGCCAGUCUCAUACUUAGAGUAUGACCACGGACAGUGGGUAAUCUGGAGGUCGCAAGUUCGAGCCUUGCAGGGGGCA